Molecule: long non-coding RNA, 1135 nt
Filed under: Salvia miltiorrhiza (redroot sage)
Lineage: Eukaryota; Viridiplantae; Streptophyta; Magnoliopsida; Lamiales; Lamiaceae
Description: long non-coding RNA (SMIL_LNC013056)
Source: RNAcentral
GAGACAUUACUUAUGAACAGACGUAUUUAGUAAAAAUAGAGAAAAAAUCGUCACCAGCAGGAUUCGAACCCGGGGCAAAUUGUUGUUCAUACGGUACAUUGAUUUGUUCAUCAAAAUUAUAGAUCUGUUCGUUUUUGUUUCACGAAUUCUCUAUUCUCUAAAUAUUUAGCAUUCUCUGUUGAACCUUUCUCUAUGUAUAUAUAUUGUUUCAUCUACUCUUACUUUUUUUAAUUUGAAUCAGUCAACCAUUUGAAAAACUUAACAUCAAUUAUUUUGUACAGGGCGCUACGAGGCUAGUAGGUUUGAAGUCAAGAGAGACCCGCAUAAACAUUAUUGAUGAUGUUAGUGGCGUCAUCAAGCCUGGAAGGUACAAACACAAAUAGAGAUGGCAAUGGAUUUUGGACCUGUCCAGAUCCGCGGAUCCAGAUCCGUUUUUCAGGGUCUGGAUCUCAAUUUUUUGAAUCCGACGGAUCUGAAUUUGGAUCUCAAUUUUUAAAAUGAAUCUGAAUAUGAUAUUGAUGAGAUCCUGUCCAAAUCCAACCCGUUGCCAUCCCUAUACACAAACAAAAAUGAAGUUUAAUAGUAAUACUCCUAUAAGUUAAUUAUUCAGUUGACACAUAAAAAGGGUAGGUAUUACUUACCUUCCAACUCUAAAUUAUUUUUAUUACUCUUCGGUCAUGUCGUACACUUUUGAUAAUGCUAAAUUAAUACCUGGUUAAUUGUUUUUUAAAAUUAAAUCUAUACAGGAGUACAAAUGUUUUACAAUCAACCUCUAAAAUUUACUAAGAACUUUCGUACUAAAGAAGAAAUUGUUUACAACUACUCAUUUUCUUAUACGCCUAGAUAUUUAUAUUUUAUUUAAUUGAAUGCUAUUGAGUAAUAACAUCAAGGUAUUGAAGCAUACAUCUUACAAAAAUAAAACACAAAAUCUCUUAUACACUCGAGUGUAUCGUACACCCAGGUUGACCCGUACCCAAAUCCUGACCCGCAUGUUAAUCCAAACCAGCAUCUUGACCCAAAUCGUGUAAAUGACACUAUUUAGGGCCUGUUUGAUAUGGGUUUAAAAGCAGGAUAAGUUAAAUUAAUAUGGAUUUAUGUAAUGUUUGAUAUUAUGUGUUACUAAUAUGGUCAACUC